UGGGGAAUCUUGGACAAUGGGCGCAAGCCUGAUCCAGCCAUGCCGCGUGGAUGAUGAAGGCCUUAGGGUUGUAAAAUCCUUUUCGUUGGGGACGAUAAUGACGGUACCCAAAGAAGAAGCUCCGGCUAACUUCGUGCCAGCAGCCGCGGUAAUACGAAGGGGGCUAGCGUUGUUCGGAUUUACUGGGCGUAAAGCGCGUGUAGGCGGAUUUGUAAGUUGGGGGUGAAAUCCCGAGGCUCAACCUCGGAACUGCCUCCAAAACUACAAGUCUGGACCUAAGUAGAGGCAAGUGGAAUUGCGAGUGUAGAGGUGAAAUUCGUAGAUAUUCGCAGGAACACCAGUGGCGAAGGCGACUUGCUGGACUUAUGGUGACGCUGAGACGCGAAAGCGUGGGGAGCAAACAGGAUUAGAUACCCUUGUAGUCCCUGAGCGGGCUGGCAAGGCGCAU
RNAcentral lists this ribosomal RNA (448 nucleotides) under uncultured bacterium. RNAcentral describes it as "bacterial SSU rRNA". It matches the Rfam family "Bacterial small subunit ribosomal RNA", at positions 355 to 825 of the family's 1533-position model. The record is from RNAcentral.